GAAAUGCGAUAAGUAAUGUGAAUUGCAGAAUUCAGUGAAUCAUCGAAUCUUUGAACGCACCUUGCGCUCCUUGGCAUUCCGAGGAGCAUGCCUGUUUGAGUGUCGUCAAAUUCUCAGAACCUUCUUGCUUCUUCAGGCAGCUGGGUCUGGAUCGGUGGAGGAUGCAUUGCUGGGCCAACCAACCCUUUGCUUCUCUGAAAUGGAUCGGCGGUACGGCUUCUUUGUCGGUAUGAUACACAUACAUGUCUUACCUGCUUCUAACCUGUGCCUGCCUUGGACACAAACACGCUCUCAUGAUUUGACCUCAAAUCAGGCAGGACUACCCGCUGAACUUAA
RNAcentral lists this unclassified non-coding RNA (336 nucleotides) under uncultured fungus. RNAcentral describes it as "sequence contains ITS1". The stretch from base 1 to 105 matches the Rfam family "5.8S ribosomal RNA", at positions 50 to 154 of the family's 154-position model. The record is from RNAcentral. Lineage: Eukaryota; Fungi.